Molecule: ribosomal RNA, 448 nt
Filed under: bacterium MC2018
Lineage: Bacteria
Description: bacterial SSU rRNA
Rfam family: Bacterial small subunit ribosomal RNA
Source: RNAcentral
GAUGAACGCUGGCGGCGUGCUUAACACAUGCAAGUCGAACGAAGCACUUUCUUACGAUCCCUUCGGGGUGACGAGUUAGUGACUGAGUGGCGGACGGGUGAGUAACGCGUGGGUAACCUGCCUUAUACAGGGGGAUAACAGUUGGAAACGGCUGCUAAUACCGCAUAAGCGCACAGUACCGCAUGGUACAGUGUGAAAAACUCCGGUGGUAUAAGAUGGACCCGCGUCUGAUUAGCUAGUUGGUGAGGUAACGGCCCACCAAGGCGACGAUCAGUAGCCGAUCUGAGAGGAUGAACGGCCACAUUGGGACUGAGACACGGCCCAGACUCCUACGGGAGGCAGCAGUGGGGAAUAUUGCACAAUGGGCGAAAGCCUGAUGCAGCGACGCCGCGUGAGUGAUGAAGUAUUUCGGUAUGUAAAGCUCUAUCAGCAGGGAAGAUAAUGACGU